This is a long non-coding RNA of Arabidopsis thaliana (thale cress), 521 nucleotides long. RefSeq annotates it as other RNA. Lineage: Eukaryota; Viridiplantae; Streptophyta; Magnoliopsida; Brassicales; Brassicaceae. The transcript has a single exon. The record is from RefSeq.
AAUCAAAGAAGGAGACGGAGACCCAACAGGCUCGGGAAUAGUCCCGGAAGGGCUAACUGGAAGAGGAGGCGAGGCGGCACCCGAGGAAAGAACCUCAGAAGACAACGGAGCCGGAACAGCCCGAGGAGCAGACAACGAAGACGACGCCACUAAGGAAGCCAGCACUCGAUCGAACUUGGAGGAAGGGCGAAAAGGAAGGGGCGAGAGGGCUUCUUCUUUUUCUUCGACAUCGAGAAAUUCUCGUUUGCCGGCGUGAGGCCGGCCAAUGGCGGCGAUUGGGUUAGGGAUUGCAAUCGCCAGAAAAGUUGCCUUUAAUAGAGAGAAAAUCGAGUCCUUUCACGGUUAAAAGUUAAUAUAGUGAUCAUUUUGACCGUAUAUUUGAGAACGUAUUAUCAUAAACCAAAGCAACACGCUCUUUAGUUUGAACAAAAAAAUUUGUGUUGGCUAUGUCAUCUUCUUCUUCAAAUUUACUAGACGAAGCUCAUCUCUACUGAAUGAAUCCUCUUUUUCCUUCGCUAUAA